Molecule: non-coding RNA, 19 nt
Filed under: Arabidopsis thaliana (thale cress)
Lineage: Eukaryota; Viridiplantae; Streptophyta; Magnoliopsida; Brassicales; Brassicaceae
Source: RNAcentral
GGAUGUUGAUGAGGAUGGC